CACUCCUACGGGGAGGCAGCAGUGGGGGAAUAUUGCACAAUGGGCGCAAGCCUGAUGCAGCCAUGCCGCGUGUGUGAAGAAGGCCUUCGGGUUGUAAAGCACUUUCAGUCGUGAGGAAGGUAGUGUAGUUAAUAGCUGCAUUAUUUGACGUUAGCGACAGAAGAAGCACCGGCUAACUCCGUGCCAGCAGCCGCGGUAAUACGGAGGGUGCGAGCGUUAAUCGGAAUUACUGGGCGUAAAGCGCAUGCAGGUGGUUUGUUAAGUCAGAUGUGAAAGACCCGGGGCUCAACCUCGGAAUUGCAUUUGAAACUGGCAGACUAGAGUAUUGUAGAGGGGGGUAGGAAUUUCAGGUGUAGCGGUGAAAUGCGUAGAGAUCUGAAGGAAUACCGGUGGCGAAGGCGGCCCCCUCGGACAGAUACUGACACUCAGAUGCGAAAGCGUGGGGAGCAAACAGGAUUAGAUACCCUGGUAG
RNAcentral lists this ribosomal RNA (472 nucleotides) under uncultured bacterium. RNAcentral describes it as "bacterial SSU rRNA". It matches the Rfam family "Bacterial small subunit ribosomal RNA", at positions 334 to 793 of the family's 1533-position model. The record is from RNAcentral.